RNAcentral lists this ribosomal RNA (258 nucleotides) under uncultured bacterium. RNAcentral's name for it is "partial 16S ribosomal RNA". It matches the Rfam family "Bacterial small subunit ribosomal RNA", at positions 524 to 780 of the family's 1533-position model. The record is from RNAcentral.
UACGUAGGGUGCAAGCGUUAAUCGGAAUUACUGGGCGUAAAGCGUGCGCAGGCGGUGAUGUAAGACAGUUGUGAAAUCCCCGGGCUCAACCUGGGAACUGCAUCUGUGACUGCAUCGCUGGAGUACGGUAGAGGGGGAUGGAAUUCCGCGUGUAGCAGUGAAAUGCGUAGAUAUGCGGAGGAACACCGAUGGCGAAGGCAAUCCCCUGGACCUGUACUGACGCUCAUGCACCGAAAGCGUGGGGAGCAAACAGGAUUA